Molecule: ribosomal RNA, 466 nt
Filed under: Vreelandella stevensii
Lineage: Bacteria; Pseudomonadati; Pseudomonadota; Gammaproteobacteria; Oceanospirillales; Halomonadaceae
Description: partial 16S ribosomal RNA
Rfam family: Bacterial small subunit ribosomal RNA
Source: RNAcentral
CCCUACGGGUGGCUGCAGUGGGGAAUAUUGGACAAUGGGCGAAAGCCUGAUCCAGCCAUGCCGCGUGUGUGAAGAAGGCCUUCGGGUUGUAAAGCACUUUCAGUGGGGAAGAAAGCCUUGGGGCUAAUACCCUCGAGGAAGGACAUCACCCACAGAAGAAGCACCGGCUAACUCCGUGCCAGCAGCCGCGGUAAUACGGAGGGUGCGAGCGUUAAUCGGAAUUACUGGGCGUAAAGCGCGCGUAGGCGGUCUGAUAAGCCGGUUGUGAAAGCCCCGGGCUCAACCUGGGAACGGCAUCCGGAACUGUCAGGCUAGAGUGCAGGAGAGGAAGGUAGAAUUCCCGGUGUAGCGGUGAAAUGCGUAGAGAUCGGGAGGAAUACCAGUGGCGAAGGCGGCCUUCUGGACUGACACUGACGCUGAGGUGCGAAAGCGUGGGUAGCAAACAGGAUUAGAUACCCGGGUAGUC